AGUGAACGCUGGCGGUAGGCCUAGCACAUGCAAGUCGAACGGCAGCACAGUAAGAGCUUGCUCUUACGGGUGGCGAGUGGCGGACGGGUGAGGAAUACAUCGGAAUCUACUUUUUCGUGGGGGAUAACGUAGGGAAACUUACGCUAAUACCGCAUACGACCUACGGGUGAAAGCAGGGGAUCUUCGGACCUUGCGCGGUUGAAUGAGCCGAUGUCGGAUUAGCUAGUUGGCGGGGUAAAGGCCCACCAAGGCGACGAUCCGUAGCUGGUCUGAGAGGAUGAUCAGCCACACUGGAACUGAGACACGGUCCAGACUCCUACGGGAGGCAGCAGUGGGGAAUAUUGGACAAUGGGCACAAGCCUGAUCCAGCCAUACCGCGUGGGUGAAGAAGGCCUUCGGGUUGUAAAGCCCUUUUGUUGGGAAAGAAAAGCAGCAGGUUAAUACCCCGCUGUUCUGACGGUACCCAAAGAAUAAGCACCGGCUAACUUCGUG
Molecule: ribosomal RNA, 492 nt
Filed under: uncultured bacterium
Lineage: Bacteria
Description: partial 16S ribosomal RNA
Rfam family: Bacterial small subunit ribosomal RNA
Source: RNAcentral